AUGUCCCCCAUUCCCAUAUCCCUGUAUCCAUAUCCCUGUAUCCAUGUCUCCUGUUCCCGUAUCCCUGUAUCCGUGUCCCCCGUAUCCAUAUCCCUGUAUCCAUGUCCCCCGUUCCCAUAUCCCUGUAUCCAUGUCCCCUGUUCCCAUAUUCCUGUAUCCAUGUCUCCUGUUCCCGUAUCCCUGUAUCCAUGUCCGCUGUUCCCAUAUCCCUGUAUCCAUGUCCCAUGUUCCUGUAUCCCUGUAUCCAUGUCCCCUGUUCCCAUAUCCCUGUAUCCAUGUUCCCUGUUCCCAUAUCCCUGUAUCUGUGUCCCCUGUUCCCAUAUCCCUGUAUCCAUGUCCCAUGUUCCCGUAUCCCUGUAUCCAUGUCCCCUGUUCCCAUAUCCCUGUAUCCAUGUCCCAUGUUCCUGUAUCCCUGUAUCCAUGUUCCCUGUUCCCAUAUCCCUGUAUCCAUGUCCCCUGUUCCCAUAUCCCUGUAUCCAUGUUCCCUGUUCCCAUAUUUCUGUAUCCAUGUUCCCUGUUCCCAUAUUCCUGUAUCCAUGUUCCCUGUUCCCAUAUUUCUGUAUCCAUGUCCCAUGUUCCUGUAUCCCUGUAUCCCUGCCCUGUAUUCCCAUAUCCCUGUAUCCAUGUCCCCCGUUGGAGUUGCAGCUCCCAUGCUCCCCAUCAGCUCCAUCCCUGCAGGGCCUGGCUCUGCCAUUCCCAGCACUGGGAAUGCUGCUUCUCCACCUGGAUCCUGGCUCAGGAUGUUCCUGGGAUCACCGGGAUGAGCGGGGGGGGGGGGAAUGCUGCUCCCCCAUUGGGCUGCUUCAGCUCCUGGAUCCUCUCCGGAGCUCCCGGUUCCGUGCUGGGCACGCCCAGGGAAUGGGCCGGGAUACCGGGAAUGGGCCGGGAUACCGGGAAUGGGCCCCGGCUGCUCUGCAGCGCAUCCAUGGAUGGACAUGGGGGGGAUGUGGGAUAUGGGGGCAGCUCUUGGAUGAGGCAGGAGCUGCGGCACGGCCGAUUGUCUGCAAGGGGGGGGCAGUGAUCUCCUGCCUGUCCCUGCCUGCUCCUGCCCGUCCCGGCGCUCACCUCAUAGAGGGCCGCAGGAUGGGGCCCCGUUCCCUGCCCCCCCCCGGUAUCGGCUCCUCCGCCUCCCCCUCCAUCACCUCCCCGUUGGCGUCCCCGGGGGCCGAUGGGGCCCGAACCGGGGCCGACCCCUUGGGUACCCCCCCCCCCCGGGGCCGGUCCCGGUCCCGCACAUCCCGGCCCUGGGGCGGGUUCGCUGCGGCCCCGCCUCCCCCGUAA
This 1281-nucleotide long non-coding RNA is filed under the name Amazona collaria (yellow-billed parrot). RNAcentral describes it as "lncRNA (ENSACOG00000013893.1)". Lineage: Eukaryota; Metazoa; Chordata; Aves; Psittaciformes; Psittacidae. The record is from RNAcentral.